This 288-nucleotide small nuclear RNA is filed under the name Echinops telfairi (small Madagascar hedgehog). RNAcentral's name for it is "7SK RNA (ENSETEG00000025625.1)". It matches the Rfam family "7SK RNA", at positions 1 to 280 of the family's 331-position model. From Rfam's summary of the family: 7SK was discovered as an abundant small nuclear RNA in the mid-70s but a possible function has only recently been suggested. Two independent studies have found that 7SK RNA binds the CDK9/cyclin T complex (known as elongation factor P-TEFb). P-TEFb activates transcription by phosphorylating the C-terminal domain of RNA polymerase II. The record is from RNAcentral. Lineage: Eukaryota; Metazoa; Chordata; Mammalia; Afrosoricida; Tenrecidae.
GGGUGUGCGGGUUGAUACCACUUGUCGCGCGCCAUUUGAAUUGCCCAGGGGUUGAUUCCGCUGAUCCGGCCGGGCUAUGCCGAGUUGUCCCCCUUCCCUCUCUCAGAGGCUCCAUGUGCAUCCUCAACCGAAAGCGUCAAGCUCGGGAUAAAGAGGACCACCUCUCCCGAUAGAAGGACGACCAUCCUUCGCUCAAGGGUAUACCUAGUAGGCUGCGGCUCCCCUGCUAGAACCUCUCAACAAGUCUCAAAUGUCUGAGUAGGGCCGUGCUGGUGAUAAGCUGACUUU